Molecule: ribosomal RNA, 253 nt
Filed under: uncultured bacterium
Lineage: Bacteria
Description: partial 16S ribosomal RNA
Rfam family: Bacterial small subunit ribosomal RNA
Source: RNAcentral
UACAGAGGGUGCAAGCGUUAAUCGGAAUUACUGGGCGUAAAGCGUGCGUAGUCGGUUAUCUAAGUCGGGUGUGAAAUCCCCGGGCUCAACCUGGGAAUUGCAUUCGAUACUGGAUAGCUAGAGUUCGGCAGAGGGAAGCGGAACUUCGGGUGUAGCGGUGAAAUGCGUAGAUAUCCGAAGGAACAUCAGUGGCGAAAGCGGCUUCCUGGACCAGAACUGACGAUCAGGCACGAAAGCGUGGGGAGCAAACAGG